This 497-nucleotide ribosomal RNA is filed under the name uncultured bacterium. Its description in RNAcentral is "partial 16S ribosomal RNA". It matches the Rfam family "Bacterial small subunit ribosomal RNA", at positions 28 to 507 of the family's 1533-position model. The record is from RNAcentral.
GAUGAACGCUGGCGGCGUGCCUAAUACAUGCAAGUCGAGCGAACAGACGAGGAGCUUGCUCCUCUGACGUUAGCGGCGGACGGGUGAGUAACACGUGGAUAACCUACCUAUAAGACUGGGAUAACUUCGGGAAACCGGAGCUAAUACCGGAUAAUAUAUUGAACCGCAUGGUUCAAUAGUGAAAGACGGUUUUGCUGUCACUUAUAGAUGGAUCCGCGCCGCAUUAGCUAGUUGGUAAGGUAACGGCUUACCAAGGCAACGAUGCGUAGCCGACCUGAGAGGGUGAUCGGCCACACUGGAACUGAGACACGGUCCAGGCUCCUACGGGAGGCAGCAGUAGGGAAUCUUCCGCAAUGGGCGAAAGCCUGACGGAGCAACGCCGCGUGAGUGAUGAAGGUCUUCGGAUCGUAAAACUCUGUUAUUAGGGAAGAACAAAUGUGUAAGUAACUAUGCACGUCUUGACGGUACCUAAUCAGAAAGCCACGGCUAACUACGCG